This 301-nucleotide ribosomal RNA is filed under the name uncultured bacterium. RNAcentral's name for it is "partial 16S ribosomal RNA". It matches the Rfam family "Bacterial small subunit ribosomal RNA", at positions 509 to 807 of the family's 1533-position model. The record is from RNAcentral.
CAGUAGCCGCGGUAAUACGGAGGGCGCGAGCGUUACCCGGAUUUACUGGGCGUAAAGGGCGUGUAGGCGGCCUGGGGCGUCCCAUGUGAAAGGCCACGGCUCAACCGUGGAGGAGCGUGGGAUACGCUCAGGCUAGAGGGUGGGAGAGGGUGGUGGAAUUCCCGGAGUAGCGGUGAAAUGCGCAGAUACCGGGAGGAACGCCGAUGGCGAAGGCAGCCACCUGGUCCACUUCUGACGCUGAGGCGCGAAAGCGUGGGGAGCAAACCGGAUUAGAUACCCGUGUAGUCCCUGUCUCUUAUAC